AAACAGCUCCCUAUGUAUUGGAUCUUUGGCAGUUUUGGCCCCCCAAGGCCACUUUUGACUUGGCACAGGUGCCACGUCAGCGAAGACCAAGUCAAAAGUGGCAUUGGGGGGCCAAAACUGCCAAAGAUCCAAUACAUAGGGGGCUGUUU
MicroRNA precursor from Medicago truncatula (barrel medic), 149 nucleotides. It matches the Rfam family "MIR2619 microRNA precursor family". Lineage: Eukaryota; Viridiplantae; Streptophyta; Magnoliopsida; Fabales; Fabaceae. The record is from Rfam.